Molecule: ribosomal RNA, 253 nt
Filed under: uncultured bacterium
Lineage: Bacteria
Description: partial 16S ribosomal RNA
Rfam family: Bacterial small subunit ribosomal RNA
Source: RNAcentral
UACGGAGGAUCCGAGCGUUAUCCGGAUUUAUUGGGUUUAAAGGGUGCGUAGGCGGACUAAUAAGUCAGCUGUGAAAGUUUACGGCUCAACCGUGAAAUUGCAGUUGAAACUGUUAGUCUUGAGUACACAUGAGGUAAGCGGAAUUUGUGGUGUAGCGGUGAAAUACUUAGAUAUCACAAGGAACUCCAAUUGCGAAGGCAGCUCACUGGGGUGUAACUGACGCUGAGGCACGAAGGUGCGGGUAUCAAACAGG